Molecule: ribosomal RNA, 511 nt
Filed under: uncultured bacterium
Lineage: Bacteria
Description: bacterial SSU rRNA
Rfam family: Bacterial small subunit ribosomal RNA
Source: RNAcentral
AGGGUUCGAUUCUGGCUCAGGAUGAACGCUGGCGGCGUGCUUAACACAUGCAAGUCGAACGGAGUUUUUAAACGGAAGUUUUCGGAUGGAAGUUUAAGAACUUAGUGGCGGACGGGUGAGUAACGCGUGGGUAACCUGCCUCAUACAGGGGGAUAACAGUUAGAAAUGACUGCUAACACCGCAUAAUAUAGCGAAACCGCAUGAUUUUGCUAUCAAAUAUUUAUAGGUAUGAGAUGGGCCCGCGUCUGAUUAGCUAGUUGGUGGGGUAAAAGCCUACCAAGGCGACGAUCAGUAGCCGGCUUGAGAGAGUGACCGGCCACAUUGGGACUGAGACACGGCCCAAACUCCUACGGGAGGCAGCAGUGGGGAAUAUUGGACAAUGGGGGAAACCCUGAUCCAGCGAACCGCCGCGUGAGUGAAGAAGUAUUUCGGUAUGUAAAGCUCUAUCAGCAGGGAAGAUAAUGACAGUACCUGACUAAGAAGCCCCGGCUAACUACGUGCCAGCCGCAGC